UGGAUCCAGACUUUGAUUCUGGCUCAGGAUAAACGCUGGCGGCGCACGUAAGACAUUGCAAGUCGAACGGACUUAACUCAUUCUUUUAGUUUGAGAGCGGUUAGUGGCGGACUGGUGAGUAACACGUAAGCAACCUGCCUAUCAGAGGGGAAUAACAGUGAGAAAUCAUUGCUAAUACCGCAUAUGCUAACAGUAUCGCAUGAUACAGUUAGGAAAGGAGCAAUCCGCUGAUAGAUGGGCUUGCGUCUGAUUAGUUAGUUGGUGGGGUAACGGCCUACCAAGACUACGAUCAGUAGCCGGACUGAGAGGUUGAACGGCCACAUUGGGACUGAGAUACGGCCCAGACUCCUACGGGAGGCAGCAGUCGGGAAUAUUGCGCAAUGGAGGAAACUCUGACGCAGUGACGCCGCGUAUAGGAAGAAGGUUUUCGGAUUGUAAACUAUUGUCGUUAGGGAAGAUAAAAGACUGUACCUAAGGAGGAAGCCCCGGCUAACUAUGUGCCAGCAGCCGCGGUAAUACAUAGGGGGCAAGCGUUAUCCGGAAUUAUUGGGUGUAAAGGGUGCGUAGGCGGAGAAACAAGUUGGUUGUGAAAUCCCUCGGCUCAACUGAGGAACUGCAACCAAAACUAUUUCCCUUGAGUGUCGGAGAGGAAAGUGGAAUUCCUAGUGUAGCGGUGAAAUGCGUAGAUAUUAGGAGGAACACCAGUGGCGAAGGCGACUUUCUGGACGAUAACUGACGUUGAGGCACGAAAGUGUGGGGAGCAAACAGGAUUAGAUACCCUGGUAGUCCACACCGUAAACGAUGGAUACUAGGUGUAGGGUGUAUUAAGCACUCUGUGCCGCCGCUAACGCAUUAAGUAUCCCACCUGGGGAGUACGACCGCAAGGUUGCAACUCAAAGGAAUUGACGA
This 909-nucleotide ribosomal RNA is filed under the name uncultured Bacillota bacterium. Its description in RNAcentral is "bacterial SSU rRNA". It matches the Rfam family "Bacterial small subunit ribosomal RNA", at positions 1 to 916 of the family's 1533-position model. The record is from RNAcentral. Lineage: Bacteria; Bacillati; Bacillota.